UAUUGGACAAUGGGGGCAACCCUGAUCCAGCAAUGCCGCGUGAGUGAUGAAGGCCUUAGGGUUGUAAAGCUCUUUUACCCGGGAUGAUAAUGACAGUACCGGGAGAAUAAGCCCCGGCUAACUCCGUGCCAGCAGCCGCGGUAAUACGGAGGGUGCAAGUGUUAUUCGGAAUCACUGGGCGUAAAGAGCACGUAGGCGGAUUGGUAAGUCAGGUGUGAAAUCCCGGAGCUCAACUCCGGAACUGCAUUUGAUACUGCUAGUCUUGAGUGAGGUAGAGGGGGGUGGAAUUCCCGGUGUAGAGGUGAAAUUCGUAGAUAUCGGGAGGAACACCAGAGGCGAAGGCGACCCCCUGGGCCUCUACUGACGCUGAGGUGCGAAAGCGUGGGGAGCAAACAGG
This 397-nucleotide ribosomal RNA is filed under the name uncultured bacterium. RNAcentral's name for it is "bacterial SSU rRNA". It matches the Rfam family "Bacterial small subunit ribosomal RNA", at positions 362 to 776 of the family's 1533-position model. The record is from RNAcentral.